RNAcentral lists this ribosomal RNA (468 nucleotides) under uncultured bacterium. RNAcentral describes it as "partial 16S ribosomal RNA". It matches the Rfam family "Bacterial small subunit ribosomal RNA", at positions 38 to 507 of the family's 1533-position model. The record is from RNAcentral.
GGGGGGGGGGGGCGGGGGGCGGAGCACGGGGAGGGCGAGCGGAAAGGCCCGGCGUGGGGGGGGGGCGCGGGGGGCGAACGGGUGAGUAACACGUGAGUAACCUGCCCUUGACUUUGGGAUAACUUCAGGAAACUGGGGCUAAUACCGGAUAGGAGCUCCUGCUGCAUGGUGGGGGUUGGAAAGUUUCGGCGGUUGGGGAUGGACUCGCGGCUUAUCAGCUUGUUGGUGGGGUAGUGGCUUACCAAGGCUUUGACGGGUAGCCGGCCUGAGAGGGUGACCGGCCACAUUGGGACUGAGAUACGGCCCAGACUCCUACGGGAGGCAGCAGUGGGGAAUAUUGCACAAUGGGCGGAAGCCUGAUGCAGCAACGCCGCGUGCGGGAUGACGGCCUUCGGGUUGUAAACCGCUUUCGCCUGUGACGAAGCGUGAGUGACGGUAAUGGGUAAAGAAGCACCGGCUAACUACGUG